Triticum aestivum (bread wheat) is the source of this 118-nucleotide non-coding RNA. The record is from Rfam. NCBI's taxonomy places the organism in Eukaryota, Viridiplantae, Streptophyta, Magnoliopsida, Poales, Poaceae.
AUACUACUCCCUCCGUCUCAAAAUUAUUGUCUUUAAUUUGUCUACAUAUGGAUGUAUCUAGAUACAUUCAUAUGUAGAUAAUUUUAAAACAAUAAUUUUGGGACGGAGGGAGUACUUU